Sinocyclocheilus rhinocerous is the source of this 384-nucleotide long non-coding RNA. RefSeq lists it as uncharacterized. The record is from RefSeq and is a predicted model, not a curated record. The transcript is spliced from 3 exons. NCBI's taxonomy places the organism in Eukaryota, Metazoa, Chordata, Actinopteri, Cypriniformes, Cyprinidae.
CGAAAAAUCCCGCUUUUUCAACGUGUCGCGCUUCUCAUCAGGGCUGCGCCGCAUGCUAGUAAUGCUAGUUUGGUUGAGAGUGAAAGCUGUGCUCCUCUCAUACAAUUGAUGAGAGUCUUGGAGGAGGAGCAGAACCUUUGGCUGUGCUUUAUUGCUCAAGUUGGCAAAAAACUGAAUCAGCAGACAGCUUAAUUGUACCCAUAAAGCCUCAGCAAAUGCAGAUCUGGCCAAAUUCACUUUCCAUCUACAGUAAUGGCUUGAGUGCUGAAUACUGUUUUAUGUUAAUGUAUUUAAAACGGCAACUAUCAGGGAACAGUUGACAAGAGAUUGAUUUGUCUCAUCAACAGAUACUUGUUUCAUGUGUGCAUUUAUUAAAAAUGAAUC